Molecule: long non-coding RNA, 1042 nt
Filed under: Salmo trutta (river trout)
Lineage: Eukaryota; Metazoa; Chordata; Actinopteri; Salmoniformes; Salmonidae
Description: lncRNA (ENSSTUG00000023141.1)
Source: RNAcentral
UAUUUGUACCUGGAAUUUGUCAUUCGGCAUCAGUAGAACACGCCUGACUCUCCUCCACCGGUCAUACAAGGAGAAUGGUCUAAUGCCUCCCAUCAAAAAGAGAGCUGGCCCAAGCAAGCACAGGUUACACCUGAAGGAUGAGGACUUGCAGCGAGUGGUGAACUUCAUCAACAACUACGCAGAGGAUAAUGCAAUAGUAUUACCAGGACGCCACCCACACAAACACUUAGGUGGAAAGCUGCUGCCACCCCAUGUGACAAAAGCAGCAGUGUGGCAUCUGUACAAGGAAUCAAUGACAACACUUGAGGUACGUGUAGUCGGGCUGCCUUCCUUCAGGAUUCUGUGGAGAAAAUUGCUGCCCCACAUCUCAAGCACUGCCCCACAUCUCAAGCCCAGUUGUCUCUGGGGGCCCGUACUGAACCAGCAAGAAAAGACAUUAGGAUGCAUUACAGCUUUGAUUUUGCUCAACAAGUGCACUAACCUGCAGCCAGGUCCCAUCGACUUCUUAACUCCUCGCAAGUGUGGCUUGUUUGGUGUCUGCUGUGAAGGAAUACCACAACAAGUCAACUACUUGAUUGAUGAAGGCAUGUUGUCCAGCAAAGUGAAGGACAGCACUCUGACACGGGUCAACAUCCCACAGCUGGUUGGACUGGAAGAUGGUACGGUGCUGGUGGAAAGCUAUGGCUGGCAACAACACCUGACUCUGUACUUCAGGCCGCUGCUACAGAUCAAACAGUACCAGCACUUCAGGUGAAUAUCAUUAUCAUUGCAUUGUAUGAGGUUAUUAUUUUUAUCUAAACUUGGGAGGUGAAUUGAUGUUGUACAAGGUUGUAAUGUCUUCUCAAUUUAUUUUGUUAUUUCCUGUUUUAUAGCUUCGAUGUUCUGGAGCCUGGUGUUGUCGCCAAGGAGCGUUCGGACUCAGUCAGGACCAGGUUUCAGCUGCUGUGCAAUGCUGACGUCCUUCCUCCCAUAGAUGGUCUGCCUGUAUAAGCACCACCUGGACUGGACACAGCUAGACAAACAUCUUUUUGAGAAGAUAAGG